AUGAAAACCUUUGCCGUUCCGCUGGACCGCCUGCUGCUGUCCCUGCCGCUGUCCCUGCUGUGCAUUGCGGGUUCCGGAGAAGCGCUGGACUUGAUCCAGUCUCCCGUCACCUUAACGGCGAUGGAGGGAGAGCAGGUUCGCAUCCAGUGCUGCUGGCAGGACGAUUGCUCUUUCGAGCGAGUAAGAGUGAAGUGGACAAAGAGCAACAUCUCACUCGGCGACAAUGUUUUGGGCUUUGACAACCAAAGUACCGCACAGAACGCCGGGAAAUGUUACCGUACCGACGCUUCUGGAAACUGCUCUAAAAUCACCCUUUCAAACGUGACCACAAAUGACAGCGGUUUAUACGUGUGUGAGGUGACCGUGGAGAUACCGUCACUACAUAACGGACGUGGGGGGGGAACACGUGUGGAGAUUCGAGUAAAACACGACACGACCGAUGCACGAGGGUCGUCGCCGACCGGUCUCGGUGUCGCGGUUCCGCUUGCUGUAGCUCUUGCGGUGCUCUCUUCUGCUGCCGUAUUCUGCCAGUGGAGAAGAAGGAGACUAAGGGCCCUUCAUCAAGGUGGAGCGAGUGGCCGAGUGGGUCUCGUCAUACAGGAAUCUCCACGCGGCGCGGUCGAGCUGGACGAGAUGAACACGAUGGCCGAGAUGGCUGAAGCCGGAGAUCGAAACUCCAACUCCUCCCGAGGGUCAGCACAGUGGUGUCCGGUCCAGCUGUACGAGUCCAUCGAUUACUUUGACGUGAAGACUGACGGCAGCAGCUAGAGGCGUCUUCGUCCCACACCCGACGGUCCUUCAUCCCUCCUUCGCUUUACCCUCGGCACUGCUUCUGAGCUCUGCUUCGUGUGAGCAUUUUACAUUCGAAACGUUGGAAAGCGGUUCACCUGAGACACGGGGAAGUACGAUGACAUGUGCCGCAGCGGCUCCGAAAUGAAACCCCUCACCGUACGCGUGCGGGUUCAAGUCCCACGAAGGGUUCCGUUCUCAUGCUGACCUCCAUGGGUCUACUCUGUCUUGAGGUCCCUGUACCCUGGUGAACGGCAGGCGCUGUGGAAGCUGACGAUUUUUCCUUUUGCAGGGCAGUUUGUCCACAGAAGCGUAGGAGGUGCAGCAUUCAAGGGUAAUUUAGACAUUUCGAAAAUGUAGGGUUUUAAAAGCUUCCCCAAAAACAGGAAGUACAGUGUUGCUAAAUAUUUAGCUUUUCUUUUCCUUUCUUAUUCUUUUUCUUCUUUUUCUUCUUUACGAAGGAAAAGACUGGACUUGGGUCGCCCGCUUUCUUUUCACUGCUCUCAAAAUCUUAAAUAUCCUGCUUAUAACAAAGUUUAUUUGCACGUUUGGAUGCAAACAAAGAAAUAUAAUACUGGCAUGAAAAGAUCAAUACGUACCUAUAAAAUCACACUUUUAUUGAAUAAAUUAAUGAAAAAUUCCCUUAAUCUCA
RNAcentral lists this long non-coding RNA (1441 nucleotides) under Scleropages formosus (Asian bonytongue). RNAcentral's name for it is "lncRNA (ENSSFOG00015030274.1)". The record is from RNAcentral. Lineage: Eukaryota; Metazoa; Chordata; Actinopteri; Osteoglossiformes; Osteoglossidae.